This 497-nucleotide ribosomal RNA is filed under the name uncultured bacterium. RNAcentral describes it as "partial 16S ribosomal RNA". It matches the Rfam family "Bacterial small subunit ribosomal RNA", at positions 28 to 507 of the family's 1533-position model. The record is from RNAcentral.
GACGAACGCUGGCGGCGUGCCUAAUACAUGCAAGUUGAGCGAUGAAGCUUGGUGCUUGCACCAAUUUGAAGAGCAGCGAACGGGUGAGUAACGCGUGGGGAAUCUGCCUUUGAGCGGGGGACAACAUUUGGAAACGAAUGCUAAUACCGCAUAACAACUUUAAACAUAAGUUUUAAGUUUGAAAGAUGCAAUUGCAUCACUCAAAGAUGAUCCCGCGUUGUAUUAGCUAGUUGGUGAGGUAAAGGCUCACCAAGGCGAUGAUACAUAGCCGACCUGAGAGGGUGAUCGGCCACAUUGGGACUGAGACACGGCCCAAACUCCUACGGGAGGCAGCAGUAGGGAAUCUUCGGCAAUGGACGAAAGUCUGACCGAGCAACGCCGCGGGAGUGAAGAAGGGUUUCGGAUCGUAAAACUCGGUUGGUAGAGAAGAACGUUGGUGAGAGUGGAAAGCUCAUCAAGUGACGGUAACUACCCAGAAAGGGACGGCUAACUACGUG